AGGGUUUGAUCUUGGCUCAGAACGAACGUUGGCGGCGUGGUUGAGGCAUGCAAGUCGCACGAGAACGGAGCAAUCCUAGUAAAGUGGCGGAAGGGUGAGUAAUGGGUAGAUAACGUACCAUGGAGAUGGGCAUAACGGCUCGAAAGAGCCGCUAAUUCCCGAUAAGACCACGGCUGGGCAUCCAGUUGAGGUCAAUUGAGGGGGACCUUCGGGCCUCUCGCUCUGUGAUCGGUCUACUCCCUACCAGCUAGUAGGCGGGGUAAUGGCCCACCUAGGCUGCGACGGGUACCCGGACUAAGAGGUUGAACGGGCACAUCGGCACUGAGACACUGGCCGGACACCUACGGGUGGCUGCAGUUCGGAAUAUUCGGCAAUGGACGAAAGUCUGACCGAGCGACGCCGCGUGCGGGAUGAAGGCCCUCUGGGUUGUAAACCGCUUUAGGGAGUGAGCAAACUAUCUGAUGUGAACAUCAUCGGAUAUUGAGUUAAGCUCCUAAAUAAGCCCCCGCUAAUCACGUGCCAGCAGCGGCGGUAAUACGUGAGGGUCAAACGUUGUUCGGUGUCACUGGGCUUAAAGGGUGCGUAGGUGGUUACGUAAGUAACGUGUGAAAUCCCCCGGCUUACCCGGGGAAUUGCGCGUUAUACUGCGUGACUUGAGGACUGUAGGGGAAUGGGGAACUCCAGGUGUAGCGGUGAAAUGCGCAGAUAUCUGGGGGAAGGCCGGCGGCGAAGGCGCCAUUCUGGGCAGUUCCUGACACUGAGGCACGAAAGCGUGGGGAGCAAACAGGAUUAGAUACCCUGGUAGUCCACCCUAAACGAUGGAUAUUAGCUAGGGGGCCCUGCAAGGGGUUCCUUGGUGUAGCGAAAGCGUUAAAUAUCCCGCCUGGAGUAUGGUCGCAAGGCUGAAACUCAAAAGAAUUGACGGGGUCUCACACAAGCGGUGGAGCAUGUUGCUUAAUUCGAUACUACGCGAAGAACCUUACCCGGGCUCGAAGUGUACGGAUUAGUUCUAUGAAAGUAGAAUGACACCUUAACCGGUGGAACGUACAAAGGUGUUGCAUGGCUGUCGUCAGCUCGUGUCGUUAGAUGUCGGGUUAAGUCCCUUAACGAGCGAAACCCCUGUCCUUAGUUGCCAUCAGGUAAAGCUGGGAACUCUUGGGAGACUGCCGGUGUUAAACCGGAGGAAGGUGGGGAUGACGUCAAGUCAUCAUGGCCCUUACGUCCGGGGCGGCAAACGUGCUACAAUGGCAAUUACAGCGCGACGCAAUACCGCGAGGUGGAGCAAAUCGCUUAAAAAUUGCCUCAGUUCGGAUUGGGAGGCUGCAAUUCGCCCCCAUGAAGCCGGAAUCGCUAGUAAUCGGGGAUCAGCCACGCCCCGGUGAAUAUGUUCCUGAGCCUUGUACACACCGCCCGUCAAGCCACGAGAGCUGGGGGUACCCGAAGUCGUGAUAAGCGCCCACGGUAAACCAGUGAUUGGGACUAAGUCGGAACAAGGUAGCCGUAGGGGAACCUGCGGCUG
Molecule: ribosomal RNA, 1519 nt
Filed under: metagenome
Description: bacterial SSU rRNA
Rfam family: Bacterial small subunit ribosomal RNA
Source: RNAcentral